This is a long non-coding RNA of Hemicordylus capensis (graceful crag lizard), 453 nucleotides long. RefSeq lists it as uncharacterized. Lineage: Eukaryota; Metazoa; Chordata; Lepidosauria; Squamata; Cordylidae. The record is from RefSeq and is a predicted model, not a curated record. The transcript is spliced from 4 exons.
AGUGAAGCCUGAACUCGAGUAGGGCCCAAGCCAGCCAGGAAGGAGGAGGCAGCCAGAGAGGCCUUCACUGUUCUCUGCAGCAGAAGACCCCCUGCUGCCAGAUGAGAUGCCAGCUGGUGACUCAGAGUUUGAGAAACUAGCCAACUUGGACAGGAGCUGAAAUAUCUUAGGCGGUUUGUUAGUGUGCAAGGAAGACAGACUGUUAUAUUUCCAGUUGUGUUCAAGAAGCUGAAGCAGAACUGCUAGCCCACCAGGAGAACAGAGUCUGCUUCAGAACCAAUGCUCUACCAUGCUUGAUUUCCUGGGCUUUUAAUUGGAGAAGCAAAUGUCAUCAUUACAUCUUCACAUUCUGUGGCAAAGAUUGGCUCAAUGCCCAUUCUGACAUGCAGUGAAUGACAGCAUGUAUAUGAAUUAGUGAUACAGUCACUUUCGGGGUAUAAUUCUGGUUAACCC